Long non-coding RNA from Olea europaea var. sylvestris, 460 nucleotides. RefSeq lists it as uncharacterized. NCBI's taxonomy places the organism in Eukaryota, Viridiplantae, Streptophyta, Magnoliopsida, Lamiales, Oleaceae. The record is from RefSeq and is a predicted model, not a curated record. The transcript has 3 exons.
UUCUAUAUUGAGGUGCAAAAUAGCAAAAUUAGGAUUCAUAAGUCGGACACCAUAGCAUUCUUUCGUAUUCAAUUGUUUCUUGAUUUCCUGAUGGACAUGUUGUAGGCUAGGUUAGCCUUGAGGACAAUCAAGGGACUCGUAAAGCUUCAAGGUGUAAUUAGAGUCCAUAUUAUCAGAAAGCAAAAUGUAGAUAUGCUUCGUGUAUGCAUGCAAUGGCUCGAAUCCAGGCUCGAGCUUGUAAAAAUCGAGCUUAUACUUCAGAGUCUACUAAUUUGGGCACAAGUUAUUCAACUCGCAUCAACCUGGUGUUGCCAAUCUUUGAAAAUGUGAACAGAGGUCAAAUUGUCCCCAUCAUGGUGGACUAAACCAAAAGAAGCUUGAAAAAGAUUCCAUCCUCCUGCACUGUAGCUUCUUGUCGAGGACAUGCCAAUACUACACCGUUUCCCAGUCUUAUCUCAUG